Molecule: ribosomal RNA, 250 nt
Filed under: uncultured bacterium
Lineage: Bacteria
Description: partial 16S ribosomal RNA
Rfam family: Bacterial small subunit ribosomal RNA
Source: RNAcentral
UACGAAGGGGGCGAGCGUUGUUCGGAAUCACUGGGCGUAAAGGGCGCGCAGGCGGCUGCUUUGGUUGGGCGUGAAAGCCCCGGGCUUAACCUGGGAGGUGCGCUCGAGACGGAGCGGCUGGAGUUCGGCAGAGGAGGGUGGAAUUCCCAGUGUAGAGGUGAAAUUCGUAGAUAUUGGGAGGAACACCGGUGGCGAAGGCGGCUCUCUGGACCGAUACUGACGCUGAGGCGCGAAAGCGUGGGGAGCAAAC